Molecule: ribosomal RNA, 395 nt
Filed under: Brevibacillus laterosporus
Lineage: Bacteria; Bacillati; Bacillota; Bacilli; Caryophanales; Paenibacillaceae
Description: bacterial SSU rRNA
Rfam family: Bacterial small subunit ribosomal RNA
Source: RNAcentral
UGGAGAGUUUGAUCCUGGCUCAGGACGAACGCUGGCGGCGUGCCUAAUACAUGCAAGUCGAGCGAGGGUCUUCGGACCCUAGCGGCGGACGGGUGAGUAACACGUAGGCAACCUGCCUGUAAGACUGGGAUAACAUAGGGAAACUUAUGCUAAUACCGGAUAGGGUUUUGCUUCGCCUGAAGCGAAACGGAAAGAUGGCGCAAGCUAUCACUUACAGAUGGGCCUGCGGCGCAUUAGCUAGUUGGUGAGGUAACGGCUCACCAAGGCGACGAUGCGUAGCCGACCUGAGAGGGUGACCGGCCACACUGGGACUGAGACACGGCCCAGACUCCUACGGGAGGCAGCAGUAGGGAAUUUUCCACAAUGGACGAAAGUCUGAUGGAGCAACGCCGCGU